UACGAAGGGAGCGAGCGUUGUUCGGAAUCACUGGGCUUAAAGCGUGCGUAGGCGGAUGUGUAAGUAAGAAGUGAAAUCCCAGGGCUUAACCCUGGAACUGCUUUUUAGACUGCACGUCUGGAAUUCGGUAGAGGCUAGUGGAACUCCUAGUGUAGAGGUGAAAUUCGCAGAUAUUAGGAAGAACACCGGUGGCGAAGGCGACUAGCUGGACCGACAUUGACGCUGAGGCACGAAAGCGUGGGUAGCAAACAGG
This 253-nucleotide ribosomal RNA is filed under the name uncultured bacterium. Its description in RNAcentral is "partial 16S ribosomal RNA". It matches the Rfam family "Bacterial small subunit ribosomal RNA", at positions 524 to 776 of the family's 1533-position model. The record is from RNAcentral.